This 325-nucleotide long non-coding RNA is filed under the name Homo sapiens (human). RNAcentral describes it as "HSALNT0186527". Lineage: Eukaryota; Metazoa; Chordata; Mammalia; Primates; Hominidae. The record is from RNAcentral.
CAAACUCUCCCAAAAAGUAGAGAUUAAACAACAACUAAAGAUGGCGAAUCAUAGAAGUUACCACCAUUCCUGGUAUUGGUCCCAGUUCUUCUAAGAAUAUUUUUGAUGCAAGAGCUGUUUUAUCUUGAAUCCUACAUAGCUUAUUUUCCAUUUUUCCAUUCAAAUAAAACAACAAGAGAACAAUAGAGUGAAGAAAAAGGAUGUUUAAGCCUAAAUCCAAGACUGAGGUACAAGACCAAGAAAAGUGGGGCAGAAGAUGGAAAAGAACAAGUGAAGAAUCUUGGAAACAAUUCAAAGGCACGUUGGAUUCUUUGCUUGUAAUAAG